AAUGUUAUUCGAAAGUUGAAAUUUCGUGGUCUCUACCUUUUGUGAAAAGUUCUUGUAUAGGUGCAUGCUUUCACUACAACAGAAUUAGGUUAUAGGGACACAUGUUUGGGACACUUUUGAGUAAGUGUCCCAAUUAUGCUAAAACUUAAAAAAAACAUCUACUAAUGCCUAAAUAAAAAACUCAAUCUAACCAAAAAUAAAAGAUUACUCUACUCAAUCCACCACACCCAGCCCAUUUGGCCCGAUUACAAACAGAAAAGAAAAAAAAAAGAAAAAUCUAUUACCAUCUUUUCUUCUCUUUUCACUCAAUCCACUGAAAUUCUAGACGAAGAGCCUUUCCUGUCGUUCUCCUCCGCCAGCGCAGCCAAAGAGAUAGAGUUUCGGCGGUUGUUAAAUGCUUAAAUAAGUGUUGGUAAAUUAGCAGCACUCUUUUAGGUUAUAGCGACACUCUUUAACUGUCACUAUAUACCUAGCGACCCCACAUAUAACAACAUUUUUUAAAAGUGUCGGUAAUUUUAGCUAACAGCACUUUUUUGACAUGUACCUACAUUUAAAAGUGUCGCUAUAGAUCGUUUUUGUUGUAGUGUUUGUGAUCCAAUGUGUGCAUGU
Molecule: long non-coding RNA, 609 nt
Filed under: Ananas comosus (pineapple)
Lineage: Eukaryota; Viridiplantae; Streptophyta; Magnoliopsida; Poales; Bromeliaceae
Description: long non-coding RNA (ACOM_LNC028337)
Source: RNAcentral